UGGAUAAAGAAUCUUUAAACA
This 21-nucleotide non-coding RNA is filed under the name Caenorhabditis elegans. Lineage: Eukaryota; Metazoa; Nematoda; Chromadorea; Rhabditida; Rhabditidae. The record is from RNAcentral.